GCAGUGAUGAUGAAUUAUAGCUUUUAAUGCCAGGUCUGCUUCAGAAAAUUCUUGAUUGAUAGAGCUGUUAAUUGCUCUGAGC
Small nucleolar RNA from Vitis vinifera (wine grape), 82 nucleotides. The record is from Rfam. Lineage: Eukaryota; Viridiplantae; Streptophyta; Magnoliopsida; Vitales; Vitaceae.